Molecule: ribosomal RNA, 497 nt
Filed under: uncultured bacterium
Lineage: Bacteria
Description: partial 16S ribosomal RNA
Rfam family: Bacterial small subunit ribosomal RNA
Source: RNAcentral
GAUGAACGCUGGCGGCGUGCCUAAUACAUGCAAGUCGAGCGAACGGACGAGAAGCUUGCUUCUCUGAUGUUAGCGGCGGACGGGUGAGUAACACGUGGAUAACCUACCUAUAAGACUGGGAUAACUUCGGGAAACCGGAGCUAAUAACGGAUAAUAUUUUGAACCGCAUGGUUCAAAAGUGAAAGACGGUCUUGCUGUCACUUAUAGAUGGAUCCGCGCUGCAUUAGCUAGUUGGUAAGGUAACGGCCUACCAAGGCAACGAUGCAUAGCCGACCUGAGAGGGUGAUCGGCCACACUGGAACUGAGACACGGUCCAGACUCCUACGGGAGGCAGCAGCGGGGAAUCUUGCGCAAUGGGCGAAAGCCUGACGCAGCCAUGCCGCGUGAGUGAAGAAGGUCUUCGGGUUGUAAAGCCCUGUUGUUGGGAAAGAAAAUUUUCGUACGAAACCGUUGAGAGCAUGACGGUACCCAAACAAUAAGCCCCGGCUAACUUCGUG